Molecule: ribosomal RNA, 402 nt
Filed under: uncultured bacterium
Lineage: Bacteria
Description: bacterial SSU rRNA
Rfam family: Bacterial small subunit ribosomal RNA
Source: RNAcentral
UCGGGAAUUUUGGGCAAUGGGCGAAAGCCUGACCCAGCAACGCCGCGUGAGGGAUGAAGUAUUUCGGUAUGUAAACCUCGAAAGAAUGGGAAGAAUAAAUGACGGUACCAUUUAUAAGCUCCGGCUAACUACGUGCCAGCAGCCGCGGUAAUACGUAGGGAGCAAGCGUUGUUCGGAUUUACUCGGCGUAAAGGGCGCGUAGGCGGCGCGGUAAGUCACUUGUGAAAUCUCUGAGCUUAACUCAGAACGGCCAAGUGAUACUGCUGUGCUAGAGUGCGGAAGAGGCAACCGGAAUUCUUGGUGUAGCGGUGAAAUGCGUAGAUAUCAAGAGGAACACCUGAGGCGAAGGCGGGUUGCUGGGCCGACACUGACGCUGAUGCGCGAAAGCCAGGGGAGCAAACG